UCUGUUGUUAUAAAUAUCAAUGUUUCAAAUCAGUAUGACCCUUCAAAAUCUUUGUUCAUUUUUUCAACAGAUACAACAAAUAUUACCUGUGUUAUAGGUUUGAAAAAUAUGUUUGGAGUAAAAUUGAUAUUAACAGAAUGUUUGGUUCCAAUUGCUCUUCAAAAGGCAUAUUGAGCUCAUGAAUCCACAUCCAAAGAAGAUCUCAGACCAUGUUUAGAAAGUGCUUAGCAGGCACUUGCGUUGAAUUUAUGAAGUGUUUAUUAGAUCACGUUCAGAGUACAUUAAAAUUCAUGGAUAAAUAAAAAUCUGCAUAUACCAAAAUAUGAACAAUGACACAUUGACAAACAUUAUUAUAUUUGCCAUUAAAAUAGCGGAGUAUAUUGGUUACAAGUUUUUAAUGAAAUGUAAACGAACUUAGCAAGAAAUCAUUCAAUAAUUCGAAUAAUAAAUAAUUCCAUAAUGAUAUGAUGCAACAUCAAUAUUUACUCAAUAUAAUAAAAAAUAAAUAUUCUCAACCAAUUUAAUUAUGAAACACACCGGAAGUAUUCAUACAAUAACUUCACACCUGCAUAAUGCAUAUAUAAAUAUUCUCAACAAGGGCUAAUUUGAGGCUGAAAUGAGGAAGCGAAAAACCGAGUAGUUUGACGAGAUGAGACUGAUAAGCGGAAGAUAGAGCAGAAGAGAGACACUAUAGUGAUGGUAGUGGUUGUAGGAUGGAAGAGAAGAGAAAUGCAAGAGGGAGUGUGACAAUAGCCUGCAGAUUGGAGAGGCAGACGUACAGUCAGGCUGGUUGUACAGUCAAGAAUAUAAAAGCAAGAGAAACAGGAACGAUCGUUGAAAUCGCUAGCAGACUAUAAGUUUAUAAUACACUGUUGGCGCUGUCUGACCAUAGCCUGAUAUUACUACUCGUAUAAAUACAAAUAUCCUCAUUCGGGACCCAUCCUAGAGAUUCUUAUUUCCUUUUUCAAAUCUUUAUGUAAGUUUUAAACCAUUAGUAAGAGAUCUGGAUGAAUGUUUUAUAAAAUGAAAUAAAAAAACGAGAAAAAAAUAAUUUUCUUCAAUUGCAAACAGGAAGAGCUUUUUAGUAGCGAUAUUAUUAAGUCUAUCGGCAGUCAAUUUAGUGAAGAGAAAGACAUAGAAAACAACUUGGCGGGUAAUUCUCGGUAAAGACGACAGCCAAUUGGUUCGGCCAUUACCUGACAUUAUAUUUUAACGCUAGCAGGCAGAACGAAAUGCUUCCGGUAAUCAUUUUGCUGUCGGGCAUCUUUCGUUUUAGGCCAAGUUUCGUAUAAGUCUGAGCAAGAGAAGAAAGAGAAGAGAAACCGGAGGUGGACAAGUGGAUGCUGUGGGGGGAUAGAGGGGGGCUGCUGAGAGAAGAGUUUGGUAUAUAGAAGAUAGAAGGAAUGAAGGGUAGAGAAAACUUGGAAACGCGAGUCUGGGCCGGAAGAAGUCCGUCUCAGUGUUCGGAUGCCGUAGCUGUGGGGCGUAAUAUUGAUCAUGGAGUAAGCGGGGGUGUCUGCACUCCCCCUUAUCCCUCUUGGAAGUCGCACGGUGGAGAGAAAGAGCCGGUAACUGAGAGAAAGAGGAGCAACCCAUGGAGCUAGCAACCAGAGAGUGUUGCAACAGACCAACUGCAUCU
This 1639-nucleotide long non-coding RNA is filed under the name Chelonus insularis. Its description in RNAcentral is "uncharacterized LOC118065194, transcript variant X1". Lineage: Eukaryota; Metazoa; Arthropoda; Insecta; Hymenoptera; Braconidae. The record is from RNAcentral.